Molecule: long non-coding RNA, 489 nt
Organism: Dendroctonus ponderosae (mountain pine beetle)
Lineage: Eukaryota; Metazoa; Arthropoda; Insecta; Coleoptera; Curculionidae
Exons: 2
Source: RefSeq, a predicted model, not a curated record
UAUAUUAACUGAAUCAAAUUACCAUGGGCGUUAAGUGAUUGUAAAGUGAUAGAAAUUUUGAUGCUUGGACCAGAGAUUAGUAGUAAUCUACUAAUCUCUGCUUGGACCAAACAAAAUAGUGGCUAUGACUUUCGCAAGUUUCCUCAAGUUUCUCCUGGUCUUUCAAUUAUUCCUUCAAAUAAGCCUCUCGACCGAGCCAGGCGAGUUAUCCGUUGCAAAACCGAGAUGGUACCAUCUUCGUUGUGUUGAAUGUUACCGGCCAGAUACCAAGGGACAAGCAUGUGUGAAGAUACCAAAGUGCAUCAAAGCUCCUAAAAAGAAAUUAAUAAAUCCGUUUCACCACUGGGCGUCUUAAGCUACAGAGUACAGAAGUGUGUACAUAUUUAGCGGCUCUCAGAUGCAAUUAGUUCUCACUUCCGGCGCGCGAUUCUCCUUUAACAAUUUGCAAAAAACCCGCCCAGAACUUUAAUACAACCUUAUUAUUCUUAA